Molecule: ribosomal RNA, 490 nt
Filed under: uncultured bacterium
Lineage: Bacteria
Description: bacterial SSU rRNA
Rfam family: Bacterial small subunit ribosomal RNA
Source: RNAcentral
AACGAACGCUGGCGGCGUGCUUAACACAUGCAAGUCAAGGAGAAAGUCUCUUCGGGGGCGAGUAAACUGGCGCACGGGUGAGUAACGCGUGAGGAACCUGCCCAUAUGUCUGGGAUAACCUGCUGAAAAGCGGGCUAAUACUGGAUAUAUUGUUUACCGCAUGGUGGACAAGGAAAGUUGGUGUAAGCUAACGCAUAUGGAUGGUCUCGCGUCUGAUUAGCUAGUUGGUGGGGUAAAGGCUCACCAAGGCUACGAUCAGUAGCCGGUCUGAGAGGGUGGCCGGCCACACUGGGACUGAGACACGGCCCAGACUCCUACGGGAGGCAGCAGUGGGGAAUUUUGCACAAUGGGGGCAACCCUGAUGCAGCGACGCCGCGUGAACGAGGAAGGCCUUCGGGUCGUAAAGUUCUUUCGACGGGGAAGAAAUGUUAUACGAGUAACUGCGUAUAAUUUGACGGUACCUGUAGAAGCAGCCCCGGCUAACUCCGUG